GUGAGGAAUAUUGGACAAUGGGCGCAAGCCUGAUCCAGCAAUGCCGCGUGGGUGAAGAAGGUCUUCGGAUCGUAAAGCCCUUUCGACAGGGACGAUGAUGACGGUACCUGUAGAAGAAGCCCCGGCUAACUUCGUGCCAGCAGCCGCGGUAAUACGAAGGGGGCUAGCGUUACUCGGAAUUACAGGGCGUAAAGGGCGCGUAGGCGGCUCUGUUAGUCAGGCGUGAAAUUCCUGGGCUUAACCUGGGGACUGCGCUUGAUACUGCAGGGCUUGAGGCCGAGAGAGGGUGGUGGAAUUCCCAGUGUAGAGGUGAAAUUCGUAGAUAUUGGGAAGAACACCGGUGGCGAAGGCGACCACCUGGCUCGGUUCUGACGCUGAGGCGCGACAGCGUGGGGAGCAAACAGGAUUAGAUACCCGAGUAGUCC
RNAcentral lists this ribosomal RNA (425 nucleotides) under uncultured bacterium. RNAcentral's name for it is "partial 16S ribosomal RNA". It matches the Rfam family "Bacterial small subunit ribosomal RNA", at positions 354 to 796 of the family's 1533-position model. The record is from RNAcentral.